AUCUUGUGCUACUGAUUCUCCUGUCAAAACCAUGGACUGUGAUACACCAAGGUCAUGACUGUUGCUCUGAGUGUGCUCUAGUGCUAUGUGGCAUGUCUCAGAAAAAACAAAUUACAUACUUUAAUUUUUUUCUCUGAACUUGGAAGAAAUCCACUGCAACAACAAAAACAGCUGCCAGCUAGAGCUAAAAUACAGCUUUAGCCUCCAACUUCAGUCUUCCAUCAGCCUGAAUGACACAUAGCAAGCUCUACGUCACAACCAGCCCUUUUUCCCCAUCCCACAGGAGAAAAGAAGAUGCUGAAGCAGCAGAACAGCAACUGCAAUUUCUGUGUUUCCUAAGAGCUCGGGAAGGCUCCUGACAGCUUUCCAUACUGGCAGAAGUACUACUGCCCACUCUGCCAAAGGCAGUGGGAUACACCAGAACAGCAGGCUGGAAAUGGAGGAUUUGCUCCAGCAAACAGGCAGAAGCUGAAAGGAAAUUCCUGGGAGGGAGGAAGGAACUGUGUGAUGAGUAGAAAAACGAGGUUCACGAAGAGACCUGCUGAUAGAUGUCCAGUGAAAUCAACCUCAUCCAUUCUACUGUCAGGAGACUUCAUUUGUUUAUUAUGGCCUCAUCUUCAUCAUGUCAACUAAUGUGCUGUAUUGACAGAGUGAAUUAUCUUGCAGUUCUCAAUAAAUUACUGACUGACAUUAUGUUUUGUCUGCUUUUGAUUUGCUAUAAGGAGGGAUUUGCAACAGAAAUGACUGAAAGGAGUGGAUAUCGCCAUCCAUCACAUGAAAGGGUGAUUAAUGGUACUGCUUUGACCUUUUCCAGUUAGCUCCAACCAAGAAAUAGAAAAGAAGUUUCUUUCUGUAGCCCUCCUCGGACACACCUUCCCUAGAACUAACUUGAUGCCUGAGAGGAGGGACAUCUGGUGUGGCCUCCAUCACUGGGAGGACAAGAACAAAUGGGCCACACCCAUCAAAAAAUGCUGCCAGGAGCAAAAGUCCAUAAUGCUUUCCUCUGAUAUGGUAGGAAAAACAAAUGCUUAGAGAGGCGUAGUUUGAAUCUGGUGCCCCUUACACUUCACUGCUCUGAAGUAUGGUGUGCCAAGCUGGGGCUAAGAUUUUUGAGUGCAAAUGACUUUCAGUUUGAAAACAAGGUUUAAAGUUAUCCAUACGGUACAUGCUGCCUCUCCAGGGAUAAUUUGCUGAAACAUAUGAGAAUAGAAAUUUGUGGAAAACUUUUUAUGGUGUCUCCCUGCAGAUUACUAAAAAUAUGUUCCUCUUUCAGUUUUUGUGAGUCCUGUUUUUCAAUGCACUGUUUAUUGCCUUGAGUUCUAAGGUUUAUACCUUGCCACACUGUUUUAUGGAUCUUUAUCAUUAUUUUCUUCUCCAAUUAUGCCUUCAAAACAGAGUUAGAUCCCUUUUAUGCAGCUCAGCAAAAGUCCGUGCCACUGGCUUGGCACAGGAAUAGUUCCCACCAAGCUGAGCCAUUUCUGAAGAAAAUAUCCAACAGACUAUCUCCACUCAGGGAGUAUGGAGAGCAUGAAAUGCUGAUGGACAAAGCCAAUUUGUUUGUAGCAACUUAAGCAUCAUUUGAGACAAGAGCUGUCAGUCCAAAAUCAAAAAGGAAAUGGGCAAGGUGAUUCUAGACUUGUUGGUAAGCCUGUGGGAGGACAAGAAAUGAAACAAAACUACAGCACACCAUUCUUCAGCAUGACAAAAUUGGAUUGAUUGAUGGGAACAACUGAGAUCUGCAGCAGUGAGACUGAUGUGGAAAACAAAUAGAUUCAACUAAGUGGUUUAGCAGUGACUGGGAAAUGAGCAUUCAACAAAAAACUGAUUUUAUCAUAACUCUCAAAACUUUUGCAGCAGGAAAGAACAUCAGUGACAGCAGCAGCAAAUGAUGAUAUUUUAUUCUGCAGAGACACCUGGUUUGUACAAGGGCCACUGGAGUGACUAAUCAGGUGAGAAACUUAAUCUACCUUCCUAGGCCAUGGAAGCUGGGAACUCUGUAGUACUGCCAAGGAUAGUAUUGCUGGGUAAAGUGUUUGCUCAAGUCAGAAAAAGGCUGCAUUGUUCAAGAAACAAAGAGUGUGUUGUCCAGCUCUCCUACUGCAGUGCUCUGCUACACCUUUCUCACAGCCACACCAUGGAAGUAAAAAUGGAUCUUGUCUGGGAGGUAUAUGUCUUCUAAGCAGCCCAGAAAAAAAGUGGAGAAUCUCCUUGAGACACAAGACAUGUUUCUUCCUGGGGCUGAGACCUUGCUUUCUUGGCAAGGUGUUUUUGCUGGCAAGAGACAAGAAAUCACUGCAGGAGUGGAGACUUCCAAGCCUCUGCCUAAGACAGAAGAAAGGAGAAAAAAAAAGGAAGAGAAGCUCUCUAAAAUUGGAGGGUGAUCCACAUGGCUCUUAAGGAGAGGAGCAACAAGGGCUGGUAGUGGUGGACACUGAGGAGCUGGAGUCCAGAAGAACUUACAACAAAACCAAGAAAAUAGCUUUGUUUCAGAGCUGAUUAUAAUUUUUAAAGCUGGUGGAACUGAAUGGUUUCUGAUGCAGAUCUGCUUCCUUAUUCCUCUGGUUUUAAGCA
Molecule: long non-coding RNA, 2571 nt
Organism: Passer domesticus (house sparrow)
Lineage: Eukaryota; Metazoa; Chordata; Aves; Passeriformes; Passeridae
Exons: 3
Source: RefSeq, a predicted model, not a curated record